RNAcentral lists this ribosomal RNA (850 nucleotides) under uncultured bacterium. RNAcentral describes it as "bacterial SSU rRNA". It matches the Rfam family "Bacterial small subunit ribosomal RNA", at positions 52 to 907 of the family's 1533-position model. The record is from RNAcentral.
UAUCUGCAGUCGAGCGGUAAGGUUCUCACUCUGUACUUAAAUAUUUUGAGUAUGGUGUGAGAAUACACGAGCGGCGGACGGCUGAGUAACGCGUAGGAACGUACCCCAAAGUGAGGGAUAAGCCCGGGAAACCGGGUCUAAUACCGCAUGUGGUCUUCGGACUAAAGCAGCAAUGCGCUUUGGGAGCGGCCUGCGUACGAUUAGGUUGUUGGUGAGGUAACGGCUCACCAAGCCGACGACCGUUAGCUGGUCUGAGAGGAUGAUCAGCCAGACUGGGACUGAGAACGGCCCAGACUCCUACGGGAGGCAGCAGUAGGGAAUUUUCCACAAUGGGCGAAAGCCUGAUGGAGCAACGCCGCGUGCAGGAGGAAGGCCUUCGGGUUGUAAACUGCUUUUAUCUGUGAAGAUUAUGACAGUAGCAGAAGAAUAAGGAUCGGCUAAUUCCGUGCCAGCAGCCGCGGUCAUACGGAAGAUCCAAGCGUUAUCCGGAAUUACUGGGCGUAAAGAGUUGCGUAGGUGGCAAAGUAAGCGAAACAUGAAAUCUUGUGGCUCAACCAUAAGUCUAUGUUUUGAACUGCUUAGCUUGAGCAUGAGAGAGGUAGAUGGAAUUUCUAGUGUAGGAGUGAAAUCCGUAGAUAUUAGAAGGAACACCGAUGGCGUAGGCAGUCUACUGGCUCAUUGCUGACACUAAGGCACGAAAGCGUGGGGAGCGAACGGGAUUAGAUACCCCGGUAGUCCACGCCGUAAACUAUGGAUGCUAGCUGUUAUCAGUAUCGACCCUGGUAGUAGCGAAGCUAACGCGUUAAGCAUCCCGCCUGGGGAGUACGGUCGCAAGAUUAAAACUCAAAGG